GAUGAACGCUGGCGGCGUGCCUAAUACAUGCAAGUCGAGCGAACAGACGAGGAGCUUGCUCCUCUGACGUUAGAGGCGGACGGGUGAGUAACACGUGGAUAACCUACCUAUAAGACUGGGAUAACUUCGGGAAACCGGAGCUAAUACCGGAUAAUAUAUUGAACCGCAUGGGUCAAUAGUGAAAGACGGUUUUGCGGUCACUUAUAGAUGGAUCCGCGCCGCAUUAGCUAGUUGGUAAGGUAACGGCUUACCAAGGCAACGAUGCGUAGCCGACCUGAGAGGGUGAUCGGCCACACUGGAACGGGGGCACGGUCCAGCCUCCUACGGGAGGCAGCCGUAGGGAAUCUUCCGCAAUGGGCGAAAGCCUGACGGAGCAACGCCGCGUGAGUGAUGAAGGUCUUCGGAUCGUAAAACUCUGUUAUUAGGGAAGAACAAAUGUGUAAGUAACUAUGCACGUCUUGACGGUACCUAAUCAGAAAGCCACGGCUAACUACGUG
Molecule: ribosomal RNA, 497 nt
Filed under: uncultured bacterium
Lineage: Bacteria
Description: partial 16S ribosomal RNA
Rfam family: Bacterial small subunit ribosomal RNA
Source: RNAcentral